UCCUACGGGAGGCAGCAGUAGGGAAUCUUCCACAAUGGGCGAAAGCCUGAUGGAGCAACGCCGCGUGGGUGAAGAAGGUCUUCGGAUCGUAAAACCCUGUUGUUAGAGAAGAAAGUGCGUGAGAGUAACUGUUCACGUUUCGACGGUAUCUAACCAGAAAGCCACGGCUAACUACGUGCCAGCAGCCGCGGUAAUACGUAGGUGGCAAGCGUUAUCCGGAUUUACUGGGUGUAAAGGGAGAGUAGGUGGCAGAGCAAGUCCGAAGUGAAAACCCAAAGCUCAACUAUGGGAAUGCUUUAGAAACU
This 305-nucleotide ribosomal RNA is filed under the name uncultured bacterium. RNAcentral's name for it is "bacterial SSU rRNA". It matches the Rfam family "Bacterial small subunit ribosomal RNA", at positions 337 to 634 of the family's 1533-position model. The record is from RNAcentral.